Molecule: long non-coding RNA, 1622 nt
Organism: Struthio camelus australis
Lineage: Eukaryota; Metazoa; Chordata; Aves; Struthioniformes; Struthionidae
Source: RefSeq, a predicted model, not a curated record
AGGGAAAUGGAGUAGUAAAAAUAAAAUUAUUAGGUAAUAAUAAUUGUAAAAGGUAAGUGCCUAUGUAAAGAUUUUUGUAAAUGCAGCAACCGAGGGAUUCAUCUUAUGCUUCUGAACGUACUGAAACAAAAAAAAUAGCCAGUUAUGACUGUUUUUUAAAAAGAGAAAGCUGCUCACAAGAUGGCCCUUGUGGCUUUGCCUCAAGCUCUGAAUCCUCUGCUGUCCAAGUAUUUGGCUUCUGGUCCCAUCAGUUUUACUCCCUUGCCUUCAGCUGUACAUCUCUUCCAGCACGUCAGAGCAGCAGUGCUCGCUGGUGGAUCCGUGGACGGAGAGGGGCUUUCAGUUCCAGAAAUGCACUGUUGCAUGUGGGAAAAUUUCAGCCAGUCUUUUCCUUGAGAGGAAGAGGUUCCCCACAGUCAUGCUGAGGAAGACCUCAGGAGCGUAGGAAUCUAACUUGAGAUAUCUGCUUGGCAAUCCAAAGCUCCUUCUAAUAAACAGUGUUACUGUUUUGCACGGCAGCCCAGCUCUCCUCAAAAGUGCCACGAAAAGGUUCUUCUUAGAUCCAGAAGUUUGUCUGGAUCAAAGUACUUUGUGAUUUUGAAGACCUAAAUGGGGCCAUAACAAAGUUUGGUGCUCUGCAGUGAGAAAAAGAUCAUGUAUACAUUUCUGCAUAAUAAAAUGAAAACCAAGAAAGCUUAUACUGUGGCAGCCCAACAUCAAAUGCGUCGAGGACGUGAAGACACACACAAGCACUGAUGUAUUACUAAAAUGGAUAAUGUACAUGGAAUUAGAUACUUCAUCUAAUUCAGAAUUCAGUGGACCCAUUGCAAAGCAAAAAGAUGCAGAGUACAUAACCUAUAAAGAAUCACGUAUCGUCUAACCCUGACUCUGAAAAAGGGAUUAACGCCUGAGGAGGGAGAGUAUGGGGGAGGACUACUAUACCACCUCAUGCACUGGCAGGUCGUCCGUAAUUUGUUACACUUUGUUCUCAGUUUUAGGGUCUGACUGGACACAGUAGUGAUGUCUUUUCAAGUUAUUUAUUUUGCGUGGUUUAACACUGUCAUACUGCUAGUAAGAUAUCUGGGACCUGUGAGUGCACUUUGAAAACCGGAUUCUCAGGUCUCUGUAAAUCUUCCGAUUUCCAGUGGUUCAAGGAGGAUUAAGAGUUAUGUCACACAGAAAGGAAAAAAAGUUAGUCUCUCGUUAGUUCUCAUUAAUUUCUUCCAGCUAUAAGGGGUGCACCAGCCAUGAAAAAGUGUCUCAUUAGUCCUGUGCUAGAAGUCACUGGGAAAGGCAACUGGACAGCUUCAGGCGGGGUGUUCUGUUUGGGUAGUGAUUUCUAGAGGUUUCACGACUGGGAAAGCCAAGAGACUUUUAUAGGGUUCCUCAUUUCUCCUGGAAAUAAGGACCUAGGGCCACCUUUCAGAAGAUGAUGACAGAUACAUUAAAUGACUGACACAAUUCAGGUUUCUAACUGAAUGAUUAAAAUGGGAGGAAGGCACAUUCUUGCACACGUUUGAAAAUCCAUCAGAUACGUAUUUGCAUAUUUAGGCACCGAAAUGCCUUUGGUUAGUUGCUUCUUCUCUGUAGAAUGCUACAGGACUGCUCUUUUCUUGUUUUCA